GGUCUUUUAGUUUAUUUUUUGAAUUUUUUAUUUACAAUAAAAAGGGUGGUUGGACUU
RNAcentral lists this transfer RNA (57 nucleotides) under Dirofilaria immitis (dog heartworm nematode). RNAcentral's name for it is "transfer RNA-Val". Lineage: Eukaryota; Metazoa; Nematoda; Chromadorea; Rhabditida; Onchocercidae. The record is from RNAcentral.